AAUAUUGGUCAAUGGAGGAAACUCUGAACCAGCCACGCCGCGUGCAGGAAGAAGGUCUUAUGGGUUGGAAACUGGUUUUGUAUAGGGAAGAAAAUUCUUACGAGAUAAGAAUCGUCUGUACCAUAUAAUGCUCGCGGGCUAGACAUAC
Molecule: ribosomal RNA, 148 nt
Filed under: uncultured bacterium
Lineage: Bacteria
Description: partial 16S ribosomal RNA
Rfam family: Bacterial small subunit ribosomal RNA
Source: RNAcentral